GACGAACGCUGGCGGCGUGGAUUAGGCAUGCAAGUCGAACGGUAUCAUCCUUUCGGGGAUGAGAGAGUGGCGAACGGGUGAGUAACACGUAGGUGAUCUACCCUCAAGACGGGGACAACCCAGGGAAACUUGGGCUAAUACCGGAUGUGAGCAACCUUAGGGUUGUUUGAAAGGUGGCUUCGGCUGCCGCUUGGGGAUGAGCCUGCGUCCUAUUAGCUAGUUGGUGAGGUAACGGCUCACCAAGGCAGUGAUAGGUAGGCGGCCUUAACGGGUGGUCGCCCACACUGGGAUUGAGAUACGGCCCAGACUCCUACGGGAGGCAGCAGUCGAGAAUAGUCUACAAUGGUCGAAAGACUGAUAGUGCGACGCCGCGUGAACGAAGAAGCCCUUCGGGUGUAAAGUCUUUUAUAUGUGAGCAGUGGGUUCCAUAUGAAUAGUAUGGGAUCAGAGAUAUUAGCAUAUGAAUAAAGCAACGGCUAACUCCGUGCCAGCAGCCGCGGUAAA
This 504-nucleotide ribosomal RNA is filed under the name uncultured bacterium. RNAcentral's name for it is "bacterial SSU rRNA". It matches the Rfam family "Bacterial small subunit ribosomal RNA", at positions 28 to 524 of the family's 1533-position model. The record is from RNAcentral.